This 243-nucleotide ribosomal RNA is filed under the name uncultured Actinomycetales bacterium. RNAcentral describes it as "partial 16S ribosomal RNA". It matches the Rfam family "Bacterial small subunit ribosomal RNA", at positions 89 to 334 of the family's 1533-position model. The record is from RNAcentral. Lineage: Bacteria; Bacillati; Actinomycetota; Actinomycetes; Actinomycetales.
GCUCGAGUGGCGAACGGGUGAGUAACACGUGAGUAACCUGCCCUUGACUUUGGGAUAACUUCAGGAAACUGGGGCUAAUACCGGAUAGGAGCUCCUGCUGCAUGGUGGGGGUUGGAAAGUUUCGGCGGUUGGGGAUGGACUCGCGGCUUAUCAGCUUGUUGGUGGGGUAGUGGCUUACCAAGGCUUUGAGGGUAGCCGGCCUGAGAGGGUGACCGGCCACAUUGGGACUGAGAUACGGCCCAG